Molecule: long non-coding RNA, 818 nt
Organism: Syngnathoides biaculeatus (alligator pipefish)
Lineage: Eukaryota; Metazoa; Chordata; Actinopteri; Syngnathiformes; Syngnathidae
Exons: 4
Source: RefSeq, a predicted model, not a curated record
AGAUCGGUGAGGUUCAUGUCCCGUUCCAGCACUCUCGUAUCCCUGAUCGUCAACCCGUGUGUACCGACCUGUUCUCCGACCGACCCCGCCUUCUAAUAAUAAACGUUUUUCAACGAACUACCUUGCAUCUGACGAAUCCUGCAUUUGGGUCCUUCCUUUGUUCCAAUGGGUCGUGACAGGAACCAUCGCAAGCUUCCUGCACCAAAGUCAGUUUGCCAACAAGCUAUGGCCACUAGAUGCGGUAGGAAAGCUGCUCCAGAUUGUCGCUGAAUGGAGGGUGCCCUGGUGAACCAAAACAUAUUUCUUCACAAACGCCAUGGCUGGCACAGAGGAUGACAUGCUGUGGGAGCAAGAUGGGUUGUUCAUGAUGCAAUGCAGGAGGCACCGGAAGUGGACCAAGUCAUCAAUGAGGAGUUUGACAGUGAUCCACCGAAGGUAGUUAAAUUUUUCGGAUUGGAGAUUAGUCAGAUGCUUCUUUUGAAGUCUUGGCCUAGAAUGUGUAAUGUAGAGGAUAAACUCCACGAUGCACAAAUAUUUAAUGCAAAAAAAAACUGUUAAAGUGUUAAAUUGUUUAUUUAUUUAAGACAGAAGAUAUGUAACAGUAUCAAAAUGUUAUGCCAUCAUCGAGCAUUUAUUUUAGCCGGUUGAGGGAUUCUAUUGUGACAAUUACAGGGACCAAGACAAGCGUGUCCCAAGUUAUAGAUUAAGUAAUUAUGCAUGAUUGUUGUACAGUUUUUGAAAAACACUACAAGUACAAACCUAACAAAAUAUAAAUACAGAUAAUUCCUAAUAUUUUGAGGAUAUGGGUAGCAGCAAAU